GUUUGAUCCUGGCUCAGGACGAACGCUGGCGGCGUGCUUAACACAUGCAAGUCGAACGGAAAGGUCUCUUCGGAGACACUCGAGUGGCGAACGGGUGAGUAACACGUGGGUAAUCUGCCCUGCACAUCGGGAUAAGCCUGGGAAACUGGGUCUAAUACCGAAUAUGACUACGGGACGCAUGUCCUGUGGUGGAAAGCUUUUGCGGUGUGGGAUGGGCCCGCGGCCUAUCAGCUUGUUGGUGGGGUGACGGCCUACCAAGGCGACGACGGGUAGCCGGCCUGAGAGGGUGUCCGGCCACACUGGGACUGAGAUACGGCCCAGACUCCUACGGGAGGCAGCAGUUAGGAAUCUUGCGCAAUGGACGAAAGUCUGACGCAGCGACGCCGCGUGCGGGAUGAAGGCCUUCGGGUUGUAAACCGCUUUCAGCAGGGACGAAAUUGACGGUACCUGCAGAAGAAGCCCCGGCCAACUACGUGCCAGCAGCCGCGGUAAUAA
RNAcentral lists this ribosomal RNA (495 nucleotides) under uncultured bacterium. Its description in RNAcentral is "bacterial SSU rRNA". It matches the Rfam family "Bacterial small subunit ribosomal RNA", at positions 11 to 526 of the family's 1533-position model. The record is from RNAcentral.